This 253-nucleotide ribosomal RNA is filed under the name uncultured bacterium. RNAcentral's name for it is "partial 16S ribosomal RNA". It matches the Rfam family "Bacterial small subunit ribosomal RNA", at positions 524 to 776 of the family's 1533-position model. The record is from RNAcentral.
UACGUAGGGUGCGAGCGUUGUCCGGAAUUAUUGGGCGUAAAGAGCUCGUAGGCGGUCUGUCGCGUCGAUCGUGAAAACUUGGGGCUUAACCCUGAGCUUGCGGUCGAUACGGGCAUGACUGGAGUUCGGCAGGGGAGACUGGAAUUCCUGGUGUAGCGGUGAAAUGCGCAGAUAUCAGGAGGAACACCGGUGGCGAAGGCGGGUCUCUGGGCCGAUACUGACGCUGAGGAGCGAAAGCGUGGGAGCGAACAGG